RNAcentral lists this ribosomal RNA (495 nucleotides) under uncultured bacterium. RNAcentral describes it as "partial 16S ribosomal RNA". It matches the Rfam family "Bacterial small subunit ribosomal RNA", at positions 28 to 507 of the family's 1533-position model. The record is from RNAcentral.
GACGAACGCUGGCGGCGUGCCUAAUACAUGCAAGUAGAACGCUGAAGGAGGAGCUUGCUUCUCUGGAUGAGUUGCGAACGGGUGAGUAACGCGUAGGUAACCUGCCUGGUAGCGGGGGAUAACUAUUGGAAACGAUAGCUAAUACCGCAUAAGAGUAGAUGUUGCAUGACAUUUGCUUAAAAGGUGCAAUUGCAUCACUACCAGAUGGACCUGCGUUGUAUUAGCUAGUUGGUGGGGUAACGGCUUACCAAGGCGACGAUACAUAGCCGACCUGAGAGGGUGAUCGGCCACACUGGGACUGAGACACGGCCCAGACUCCUACGGGAGGCAGCAGUAGGGAAUCGUCGGCAAUGGACGGAAGUCUGACCGAGCAACGCCGCGUGAGUGAAGAAGGUUUUCGGAUCGUAAAGCUCUGUUGUAAGAGAAGAACGAGUGUGAGAGUGGAAAGUUCACACUGUGACGGUAUCUUACCAGAAAGGGACGGCUAACUACGUG